Molecule: ribosomal RNA, 497 nt
Filed under: uncultured bacterium
Lineage: Bacteria
Description: partial 16S ribosomal RNA
Rfam family: Bacterial small subunit ribosomal RNA
Source: RNAcentral
GAUGAACGCUGGCGGCGUGCCUAAUACAUGCAAGUCGAGCGAACAGACGAGGAGCUUGCUCCUCUGACGUUAGCGGCGGACGUGUGAGUAACACGUGUAUAACCUACCUAUAAGACUGGGAUAACUUCGGGAAACCGGCGCUAAUAGCGGAUAAUAUAUUGAACCGCAUGGUUCAAUAGUGAAAUACGGUUUUGCUGUCUCUUAUAGAUGGAUAUGCGCUGGAUUAGGUAGUUGGUAAGGUAACGGGUUAUGAAGGGAACGAUUCGUAUACGAACUGAGGGGCUGAUAGCCCACACUGGAACUUAAACACCGUCCAUACUCCUAAGGUACGCAGCAGUAUGCAAUCUUCCGCAAUAGUCGAAAACAUUACACAACAACGCCACGUCAGUUAUAAAAGUCUUCCGAUCGUAAAACUCUCUUAUUAGUUAAAAACAAAUUUCUAAUUAACUAUACACUUCUUGACGGUACCUAAUCAAAAAGCCACGGCUAACUACGUG